This 989-nucleotide ribosomal RNA is filed under the name Chryseobacterium sp. RNAcentral's name for it is "bacterial SSU rRNA". It matches the Rfam family "Bacterial small subunit ribosomal RNA", at positions 451 to 1445 of the family's 1533-position model. Lineage: Bacteria; Pseudomonadati; Bacteroidota; Flavobacteriia; Flavobacteriales; Weeksellaceae. The record is from RNAcentral.
CCUACUCUCGUGAGAGUAGCUGAAGGUACUAUACGAAUAAGCACCGGCUAACUCCGUGCCAGCAGCCGCGGUAAUACGGAGGGUGCAAGCGUUAUCCGGAUUUAUUGGGUUUAAAGGGUCCGUAGGCGGAUCUGUAAGUCAGUGGUGAAAUCUCAUAGCUUAACUAUGAAACUGCCAUUGAUACUGCAGGUCUUGAGUAAAGUAGAAGUGGCUGGAAUAAGUAGUGUAGCGGUGAAAUGCAUAGAUAUUACUUAGAACACCAAUUGCGAAGGCAGGUCACUAUGUUUUAACUGACGCUGAUGGACGAAAGCGUGGGGAGCGAACAGGAUUAGAUACCCUGGUAGUCCACGCCGUAAACGAUGCUAACUCGUUUUUGGGUCUUUACGAUUCAGAGACUAAGCGAAAGUGAUAAGUUAGCCACCUGGGGAGUACGUUCGCAAGAAUGAAACUCAAAGGAAUUGACGGGGGCCCGCACAAGCGGUGGAUUAUGUGGUUUAAUUCGAUGAUACGCGAGGAACCUUACCAAGGCUUAAAUGGGAAUUGACAGGUUUAGAAAUAGACUUUUCUUCGGACAAUUUUCAAGGUGCUGCAUGGUUGUCGUCAGCUCGUGCCGUGAGGUGUUAGGUUAAGUCCUGCAACGAGCGCAACCCCUGUCACUAGUUGCCAUCAUUCAGUUGGGGACUCUAGUGAGACUGCCUACGCAAGUAGAGAGGAAGGUGGGGAUGACGUCAAAUCAUCACGGCCCUUACGCCUUGGGCCACACACGUAAUACAAUGGCCAGUACAGAGGGCAGCUACCAGGCGACUGGAUGCGAAUCUCGAAAGCUGGUCUCAGUUCGGAUUGGAGUCUGCAACUCGACUCUAUGAAGCUGGAAUCGCUAGUAAUCGCAUAUCAGCCAUGAUGCGGUGAAUACGUUCCCGGGCCUUGUACACACCGCCCGUCAAGCCAUGGAAGUUUGGGGUACCUGAAGUCGGUGACCGUAACAGGAG